This 64-nucleotide transfer RNA is filed under the name Balala lui. Its description in RNAcentral is "tRNA-Asn". The record is from RNAcentral. Lineage: Eukaryota; Metazoa; Arthropoda; Insecta; Hemiptera; Cicadellidae.
UUAAUUGAAACCAAAAAGAGGUAACUUGUUGUUAACAAGAUUAAUGAAUUAAAUUCCAAUUAAA